Molecule: long non-coding RNA, 195 nt
Organism: Helianthus annuus (common sunflower)
Lineage: Eukaryota; Viridiplantae; Streptophyta; Magnoliopsida; Asterales; Asteraceae
Exons: 3
Source: RefSeq, a predicted model, not a curated record
UAGGGAAACUCUACAUCAACGUGCCGUAGAUAGUCUUGAGGACCUUGAGAUAGUACCUGAUCAUACUAGCAAUUGUAUCAACGGUUAGCUACUAGCAAGAGGAAAUGAUGGUUAGUCUUGGGCGGGUUGUUUAUCUCGGAUAGGCGUGACUAGUGAAAUAAAGUAUCUCAAACUUCCUUAUCUGGUGGAAAUUUU